ACUCAAAUGAAUUGACGGGGGCCCGCACAAGCGGUGGAACAUGUGGUUUAAUUCGAAGCAACGCGAAGAACCUUACCAGGACUUGACAUCUACGGAACCCUGCGGAAACGCGGGGGUGCCUUUCGGGGAGCCGUAAGACAGGUGGUGCAUGGUUGUCGUCAGCUCGUGUCGUGAGAUGUUGGGUUAAGUCCCGCAACGAGCGCAACCCUCGUUGUUAGUUGCUGCUUGAAGCACGCUUCAAGUGAGCUCUCUAGCGAGACUGCCGGUGACAAACCGGAGGAAGGUGGGGAUGACGUCAAAUCAUCAUGCCCCUUAUGUUCUGGGCUACACACGUGUUACAAUGGGUGGGACAACGAGCAGCCAGCUGGCAACAGCGAGCAAAUCUCUUAAACCCAUCCUCAGUUCGGAUCGAAGUCUGCAACUCGACUUCGUGAAGUCGGAAUCGCUAGUAACCGCAGAUCAGCACGCUGCGGUGAAUACGUUCCCGGGCCUUGCACACACCGCCCGU
RNAcentral lists this ribosomal RNA (508 nucleotides) under uncultured bacterium. RNAcentral's name for it is "partial 16S ribosomal RNA". It matches the Rfam family "Bacterial small subunit ribosomal RNA", at positions 899 to 1397 of the family's 1533-position model. The record is from RNAcentral.